UGGGGAAUAUUGCACAAUGGGCGCAAGCCUGAUGCAGCCAUGCCGCGUGUAUGAAGAAGGCCUUCGGGUUGUAAAGCACUUUCAGCGGGGAGGAAGGCGUUAAGGUUAAUAACCUUGGCGAUUGACGUUACCCGCAGAAGAAGCACCGGCUAACUCCGUGCCAGCAGCCGCGGUAAUACGGAGGGUGCAAGCGUUAAUCGGAAUUACUGGGCGUAAAGCGCACGCAGGCGGUCUGUCAAGUCGGAUGUGAAAUCCCCGGGCUCAAACUGGGAACUGCAUUCGAAACUGGCAGGCUAGAGUCUUGUAGAGGGGGGUAGAAUUCCAGGUGUAGCGGUGAAAUGCGUAGAGAUCUGGAGGAAUACCGGUGGAGAAGGCGGCCCCCUGGACAAAGACUGACGCUCAGGUGCGAAAGCGUGGGGAGCAAACAGG
RNAcentral lists this ribosomal RNA (429 nucleotides) under Chloroflexota bacterium. RNAcentral describes it as "Chloroflexi bacterium partial 16S ribosomal RNA". It matches the Rfam family "Bacterial small subunit ribosomal RNA", at positions 355 to 776 of the family's 1533-position model. Lineage: Bacteria; Bacillati; Chloroflexota. The record is from RNAcentral.